Molecule: unclassified non-coding RNA, 21 nt
Filed under: Mus musculus (house mouse)
Lineage: Eukaryota; Metazoa; Chordata; Mammalia; Rodentia; Muridae
Description: oocyte_clustered_small_RNA11078
Source: RNAcentral
UAGCAGCGUUGGGAAGUGCUC